This 1352-nucleotide long non-coding RNA is filed under the name Parus major (Great Tit). RNAcentral's name for it is "lncRNA (ENSPMJG00000002057.1)". Lineage: Eukaryota; Metazoa; Chordata; Aves; Passeriformes; Paridae. The record is from RNAcentral.
GGGGAAAAUCUGGGAGAGAAUUCCAGGGGAAAAUGGGAAAUAUCUGGGGGAGGAUUCCAGGGAAGAAUGGGAAAAAAUGGGAGAGGAUUCCAGGGAAAAAGGGGAAAAUCUGGGAGAGAAUUCCAGAGGAAAAUGGGAGAGGAUUCCAGGGGAAAUGGGAAAAAUAUGGGGGAAAAAUCAGUGGGAAUGGGAAAAAAUCCGGGGGAAAUGGGGAAAAAUCUGGGAGAGAAUUCCAGGGAAAAAUGGGGGAAAAUCCAGGGAAAAAUGGGGAAAAAUCCAGGGAAAAAUGGGGAAAAAUCCAGGGAAAAGGGGGAAAAAUCUGGGAGGGAAUUCCAGGGAAAACUGGGAAAAAAUGGGAGAGGAUUCCAGGGGAAAUGGGGAAAAAUCCGGGGGAAAUGGGGGAAAAUCUGGGAGAGAAUUCCAGGGAAAAGGGGGAAAAAUGGGGGAAAAUCCAGGGGAAAUGGGGAUUUCCCUGGAUUUUCCCCAUUUUUCCCAUCCCCCAUUUUUUUCCCCCAUUUUUUUUCCCAUUUUUCCCAUCGCCCAUUUUUUCCCCUGGAUUCCCAUCCCCCAUUUUUUCCUGGAUCCUCAUUCCCAAUUUUUUCCCCUGGAUCCCUCAUUCCCGAUUUUUUCCCUGGAUCCUCAUUCCCGAUUUUUCCCCAUUUUUCCCAUCCCCCAUUUUUUCCCUGGAUUCCCAUCCCCCAUUUUUUCCCCUGGAUCCCUCAUUCCCGAUUUUUUCCCCUGAAUUCCUCAUUCCCGAUUUUUUCCCUGGAUUCCCAUCCCCCAUUUUUCCCAUUCCCCAUUUUUCCCCUGGAUCCUCAUUCCCGAUUUUUCCCCUGGAUUCCCAUCCCCCAUUUUUCCCUGGAUUCCCAUCCCCCAUUUUUCCCCCAUUUUUCCCAUCCCCCAAUUUUCCCCCUGGAUCCUCAUUCCCGAUUUUUCCCAUUCCCAAUUUUUCCCCUGGAUUCCCCAUUCCCGAUUUUUUCCCCUGAAUUCCCAUUCCCGAUUUUUCCCAUCCCCCAUUUUUCCCAUCCCCCAUUUUUCCCCUGGAUCCUCAUUCCCCAUUUUUCCCAUUCCUGAUUUUUCCCAUCCCCGAUUUUUCCCAUCCCCGAUUUUUCCCAUUCCCGAUUUUUCCUCUGGAAUUCUCAUUCCCGAUUUUUCCCCGCAGCCAACUAUUCCCUGCCGGAGAAGAGCGAGUACGUGGACGAGGUUUUGUUCGGGGAGCUGGGCCGGGACGAGGCGGCGCCGCUGGUGCUGCGCUGGAAGGAGGAGGCGCGGAAGCUGCUCCCGCCCUCGGAAAAACGCGGCAACCGCCGCAACAACCGCAACAAACGCAACAGGCAGAACCGCAACCGCGG